UAGGAAAAGUAAGAUGGCAAUGAAGAAAUCCAAUGUGAAAAAGUAAGCAGGUGACAUUAGAGUAACUGGUCUGGUAAAUAAAAAACCCGUUAUAAUGUAAAUAAAGCUGUAACGAUUGAUUUAUUUUUAAGGAAUCUAACAUGCCAGCGAAAAAUAUCUGCUUUUUAGAACGAGGAUUUAUGAUAGUUGCUGUUUGGGGAGUACUUUUACACUCUGUAUCGGCAAGAAGUUUUGGUAAUAAUCUUCUAAAGUCGAGUUCAUUCAAUAGCUCAAAUACAGAUAAUAUUUGUACCACGCCAGCAUGUAUUCAUACUGCCUCAAGCAUCCUGAAAAAUAUGAACCCAACCGUGGACCCUUGUGAUAACUUUCACAAAUUUGCUUGUGGAGGUUUUAUCGAUAUGGUAACUAUUCCUGAUGAAAAAGCUGAAGUUAGUGUAUUGAACAAUUUUGAUGACCAGCUUUUAAACCAACUCAAAAGGAGUAUGGAUAGUCCACGUUUAGCAGAAUCAAUUCGUCCAUUCAGACUUAUUAAAACCAUCUAUAACAGCUGCAUGAAUAGAAGUGCUAUUGAAGAACAAGGACUUACCCGAUUAUUGAGCAUUUUAAAAGAAUUAGGAGGCUGGCCAGUACUUGAAGGAGACUCGUGGAAGGAUGAUGAUUUUAGCUGGAUAUCAUCAAUCUACAAAUUCCGUAAGACGGGUUUCUCCAUAGAAUAUUUCAUAGAUUUAUACAUUUCGGAAGAUCUCCGCAAUAGCACCAAAAGAAUUAUAAAUCUGGGUGAAGUGACACUUGAAUUAUCACGAGACACCUCAUUAAAAGGAUUGCAAAACAAGUAUGUUAAAGAAUAUUACCAGUAUAUGGUCGAUAUUGCAGUUAUUCUUGGUGUUGAGCGUGACCAGGCUGAAAAAGAACUCAUGGAAUCCCUUGAAUUUGAGAUAAACCUUGCAAAUAUAACUCUACCAAAGGAAAAACGUCGUAACGUUGAUUUAUUUAAUAAUCCAAUGACAGUAGCUGAAUUAUCAGAAAAGUACCCCAGCAUACCUUGGAAAUAAUUCAUUAAUACCAUGCUCAAGCCUCAUGCCGAAGUUGAUGAUGAUGAAAUAAUCAAUGUCGACGUACCUAGUUAUAUAUCUGAUUUUGAAAAACUUAUAAACAUAACGCCCAAGAGGGUACAAGCUAAUUACGUUAUGUGGCGGGCCGUUUCAUAAACAGUCGAGUACUUGAAUGACAGAAUUCGUGAAAGACAACUAAAGUACUUGAUGACGCAGAAAGGCCAAAUUAAAAGAGAAUCCCAGCCGAUAGAAUGCAUUAUUUCCGUAGCUGAAAAACUACCAGUUGCCAUUGGUGCGUUGUAUGUAAGAAAUUAUGUAUCCAAAGAUCUUAAGAAAAAUGCCGUAGAAAUGAUAUCCGACAUCCAAAAUCAAUUUAAGAAAAUUUUACAAAACGUUGACUGGAUGGAUGAAGAAACCAUAAAGAGUGCUAUUGAGAAGGUUGCGGCAAUAGCGAGUCAUAUUGGAUACCCAGAUGAACUUUUGGAUGAUUCAAAAUUAGAAGAAUUUUAUGAAAAACUACAAUUUGA
Molecule: RNA transcript, 1579 nt
Organism: Cydia pomonella (codling moth)
Lineage: Eukaryota; Metazoa; Arthropoda; Insecta; Lepidoptera; Tortricidae
Gene name: neprilysin-2-like
Exons: 7
Source: RefSeq, a predicted model, not a curated record